CGCAUCCCGGAUUGUAUGAUGCC
This 23-nucleotide non-coding RNA is filed under the name Arabidopsis thaliana (thale cress). The record is from RNAcentral. Lineage: Eukaryota; Viridiplantae; Streptophyta; Magnoliopsida; Brassicales; Brassicaceae.